GAUGAAGAACGCAGCGAAAUGCGAUACGUAAUGUGAAUUGCAGAAUUCAGUGAAUCAUCGAGUCUUUGAACGCACAUUGCGCCCCCUGGUAUUCCGGGGGGCAUGCCUGUCCGAGCGUCAUUGCUGCCCUCAAGCACGGCCUGUGUGUUGGGCCUCCGUCCUCCUCCCGGGGGACGGGCCCGAAAGGCAGCGGCGGCACCGCGUCCGGUCCUCGAGCGUAUGGGGCUUCGUCACCCGCUCUUGUAGGCCCGGCCGGCGCUUGCCGACACAUCAAUCUUUUUUCCAGGUUGACCUCGGAUCAGGUAGGGAUACCCGCUGAACUUAAGCAUAUCAAUAAGCGGAGGA
This 345-nucleotide unclassified non-coding RNA is filed under the name soil metagenome. Its description in RNAcentral is "partial contains 5.8S ribosomal RNA, internal transcribed spacer 2, and large subunit ribosomal RNA". The stretch from base 1 to 120 matches the Rfam family "5.8S ribosomal RNA", at positions 35 to 154 of the family's 154-position model. The record is from RNAcentral.